CUUAGACACCCAGACCUCGGUAACUUGGCCCCAUGGAGAUGACAACUGCAUUGCCCAGAGAAUGGUGGAACACUUUGAAGGUGCUCUGAUAGGCCAGAAACUCAUCCCCACAAGAAUUGGACGAGAGAGUUCACAAAACUGGGGCUACAUUCAAUUAUGUUGCCAACCUGGAGAAGAUCCUGACAUGGGAGAUCACCUUGUGGAACAUCACUGGCGAGGACAUCUUCAACAGCGAAAAAUAUGAGAUCUGGUGAGGAAAAAACAGUCCAGUUGCCUAUUGAAAAAACACCUUUGAGACAACUAUGAUCUGGAUGACUAAGAAUCUCUACAGAUAUAACAAAUGUGUGAUGUUGGAUAUUUUCUCAAGAGUUUGGGGUCAUAAAGACACAUACCACUGGAUCAUACUCCCAAAGCUGAUUGCCUUUUA
Pantherophis guttatus is the source of this 427-nucleotide non-coding RNA. Lineage: Eukaryota; Metazoa; Chordata; Lepidosauria; Squamata; Colubridae. The record is from RefSeq and is a predicted model, not a curated record.